AAUGAAGUGCCUGAAAAAAGGAUUAUUUUGAUAGAAUAAAUCAUGUAUUUAUUAUACUUUCAUUA
This 65-nucleotide transfer RNA is filed under the name Palaestes abruptus. RNAcentral describes it as "tRNA-Ile". The record is from RNAcentral. Lineage: Eukaryota; Metazoa; Arthropoda; Insecta; Coleoptera; Cucujidae.